This 477-nucleotide unclassified non-coding RNA is filed under the name Hevea brasiliensis (rubber tree). The record is from RNAcentral. Lineage: Eukaryota; Viridiplantae; Streptophyta; Magnoliopsida; Malpighiales; Euphorbiaceae.
AGCCAUCAGUUCUCGGUUAACCUGUCAAUAACAACCAAAAAAUAAUCCAUGCUUCAAUUUGCACACCAUUUACGUGCUUAAAGACAAUGGAGCAGAAAAGUUAAAAUACCAUUUACUCAUUUGAUUCAAUGCAGUUCUUAGAUUUCAAGACUAAUACUAGUUCUAGUUGCUUCUUGGCUUAAUCAUAACAUCAUACUCUUGCAACAGCUGCAGCGAAGAUGAGGUUGAUUUCUGAAUGAAAAAGGAGAGAGAAGCAGGAAGGGAUAGAGGGGCCUUAAUAUGAAAUGCGGUUUUCAAGAGGCUUUACAGCCACAAAAUUAGGUUUUUGAGCCAAUGAGCCAAGGCCUUGGUAUAACACGCCUGACUCAUUAAAGCCAGUAUUAAGGCCUCAUCAAUUUCAAGUUUUGAUCAGAUAGAAAACAAGGCACGCCUGCAUACUGUAAGUCUGUAAUGAGCAAUUAUAUGUAUCUAUAUCAC